This 1400-nucleotide ribosomal RNA is filed under the name uncultured bacterium. Its description in RNAcentral is "bacterial SSU rRNA". It matches the Rfam family "Bacterial small subunit ribosomal RNA". The record is from RNAcentral.
AGUUUGAUCCUGGCUCAGGACGAACGCUGGCGGCAUGCCUAACACAUGCAAGUCGAACGGAGAGUAACGCUGAUUUGAAGAUAGCUUGCUAUUGAAUUUUCUUGUUGCUCUUAGUGGCGGACGGGCGAGUAACGCGUGAGUAACCUGCCCUUCAGUGGGGAACAACAGUUGGAAACGACUGCUAAUACCGCAUAACGUCAUUUUCCCGCAUGAGAGAAUGACCAAAGGAUUUAUUCGCUGAAGGAUGGACUCGCGUCCGAUUAGCUAGUUGGUGAGGUAACGGCCCACCAAGGCGACGAUCGGUAGCCGAACUGAGAGGUUGAUCGGCCGCAUUGGGACUGAGACACGGCCCAGACUCCUACGGGAGGCAGCAGUGGGGGAUAUUGCACAAUGGGGGAAACCCUGAUGCAGCAAUGCCGCGUGAGGGAAGAAGGUCUUCGGAUUGUAAACCUAAGUUGUCAGGGACGAAAUAAAUGACGGUACCUGAAGAGAAAGCUCCGGCUAACUACGUGCCAGCAGCCGCGGUAAUACGUAGGGAGCGAGCGUUGUCCGGAUUUACUGGGUGUAAAGGGUGCGUAGGCGGGUUUGCAAGUCAGGCGUGAAAUACCGAGGCUCAACUUCGGGGCUGCGCUUGAAACUGUAGAUCUUGAGUGAAGUAGAGGUAAGCGGAAUUCCUAGUGUAGCGGUAAAAUGCGUAGAGAUUAGGAGGAACACCAGAGGCGAAGGCGGCUUACUGGACCACAACUGACGCUGAGGCUCGAAAGCGUGGGGAGCAAACAGGAUUAGAUACCCUGGUAGUCCACGCCCUAAACGAUGGAUACUAGAUGUGGGGUAAUAAUAUUAUUCCGUAUCGAAACUAACGCGAUAAGUAUCCCGCCUGGGGAGUACGUUCGCAAGAAUGAAACUCAAAGGAAUUGACGGGGGCCCGCACAAGCAGUGGAUUAUGUGGUUUAAUUCGACGCAACGCGAAGAACCUUACCAGGAUUUGACAUCCAACUAACGAAGUAGAGAUACAUUAGGUGCCCUUCGGGGAAAGUUGAGACAGGUGGUGCAUGGUUGUCGUCAGCUCGUGUCGUGAGAUGUUGGGUUAAGUCCCGCAACGAGCGCAACCCCUAUUGUUAGUUGCUACGCGAGAGCACUCUAGCGAGACUGCCGUUGACAAAACGGAGGAAGGCGGGGACGACGUCAAAUCAUCAUGCCCCUUAUGUCCUGGGCUACACACGUAAUACAAUGGCCGUCAACAGAGGGAAGCAAAGCCGCGAGGUGGAGCAAAUCCCUAAAAACGGUCUCAGUUCGGAUUGCAGGCUGCAACUCGCCUGCAUGAAGCUGGAAUUGCUAGUAAUCGCGGAUCAGCAUGCCGCGGUGUAUACGUUCCCGGGCCUUGUACACACCGCCCGUCA